Molecule: ribosomal RNA, 301 nt
Filed under: uncultured bacterium
Lineage: Bacteria
Description: partial 16S ribosomal RNA
Rfam family: Bacterial small subunit ribosomal RNA
Source: RNAcentral
CAGCGCCACGGUAAUACGUAGGUGGCAAGCGUUGUCCGGAAUUAUUGGGCGUAAAGGGCUCGCAGGCGGUUUCUUAAGUCUGAUGUGAAAGCCCCCGGCUCAACCGGGGAGGGUCAUUGGAAACUGGGAAACUUGAGUGCAGAAGAGGAGAGUGGAAUUCCACGCGUAGCGGUGAAAUGCGUAGAGAUGUGGAGGAACACCAGUGGCGAAGGCGACUCUCUGGUCUGCAACUGACGCUGAGGAGCGAAAGCGUGGGGAGCGAACAGGAUUAGAUACCCCUGUAGUCCCUGUCUCUUAUACC